GGCUGGUCCGAAGGUAGCGAGUUAUCUCACUUGAUUGUUCACAGUCAAAUUGAACUUACAGAUUGAACUCCUUGUUCUACUACUUAACUUCCCUCCUCACUACUGCACUUGACUAGUCUUAA
Molecule: Y RNA, 122 nt
Filed under: Propithecus coquereli (Coquerel's sifaka)
Lineage: Eukaryota; Metazoa; Chordata; Mammalia; Primates; Indriidae
Description: Y RNA (ENSPCOG00000003882.1)
Rfam family: Y RNA
About the family: Y RNAs are components of the Ro ribonucleoprotein particle (Ro RNP), in association with Ro60 and La proteins.
Source: Rfam by way of RNAcentral